AAUAGGACUUUUCUGUUUUGUUUUAUGUAUCUACAAUUUUGUAUUUAUUCAUAAUUAAGUUGACCUUUUUUGGCUUGUAAUUUUGAUGUCUCUGCAAUUUCAUUAAGGGGUUGAGAGGUUAAAUCACAAUCUCUAAGCAAAAGUUGACAUGUCAUCAACAUACACACUUCGAUAUACCAAAUAAUUGUUUUACUUUGACAGAAAUUGCAUGUCUUGUCAACCAGACCUUGGAGAUAAAAAUUCUGAACAUAAUUCCAAACCACCUAGGAAAAAUUCUGUCUUUUUCUCUAUCUUCAUUUGGAUUUAUGACUUUUUAAAAAAGUAUAAAUAUAAAUAUGUGAUGGAGAAUAAAACUAUUUUGUGGAAUGGGUUACAUAAGGUCCAUGAAGCUAAGAUAAUCCAUCUCAAAUACUUUGUUUCCAAAUCUGCUUCCUCACAAGUCUGAACACUUUGCUUGCUUUGAUCUGACCAGGAAUCAUGGCUGAAGCUGUUCUCACUGUUGUCCUAGAGAAUCUGAGCUCAUUCAUCCAAAAGCAAAUUGGAUCUGCUUUGGGUGGAGAAAGAGAUGGAAAAGAUGUGGAGCAUGCUCUCAAACAUUUCUGCUGUGAUUGAAGAUGUUGAGGAGAGACAAUCGAAAAAUUGUUCUAUCAAGAAUAUAUUGGCUGCAAAAGUUGGAAGAUGUUUCUCUUGAGUUGGAGGAUGUUCUGGAUGAUUGUGAAGCAGAAGCCUUCCGUUUGGAGGAGAAUAGUCUAGAACAUGAUCAUCAACAUCAGUGGAUCCAUAAGAUAAUUCCCGCUUCAAGCUUCUAUUGGGUUCUUACACCUACGGAAUAAUAGAUUUUAUAUACGAGUACGCUACUCUGGCUAUUUCUUGGAUUGGCGACUGACCCUACAGACCAACGUGAGUGUUUCCAGCGUGUUUUGUCCUCACUCGCACGCUUCUUGGGAAAACCUCCUAAGAAGUCAACCAUCUUGAAAUUACCCCAAGUCAAGCACGCUUAACUGUGGAGUUCUUUUGUGAUGGGCUACCAAUCAAUCCAUUUAAGCCCUCUUUAACUGUGCAAUCUCAUACCUACAUAGUCUCAGAAUCAUCACACUUGACCUUCUCCAAGCGAUGUGGGAUUGUACAGCUUACUCAGUAUGUCCCCUUACAGAUCACGGGACUAUUGACUGUCACAAUUAAAACAUUCGAUAAAAUUGGAACGAUAAAGAGAAGAUUAGCAUGGCCCCUGCACAAGGAUGACACGCACAAAUUGAGAAAUGGUCCAAAUUUUUUGUGAUUCUGACAAUCAGAAGUCUCGUAAUUCGUGCUACACUUAAAUUAAUUUAAAUCAUAUACUAUAUUUAGGUGGAAGGUAAAGGUAUAUAAAGAAACUCUCAAAAUUGAGUAAAUUUUAAUAAAAUAUAAUAUAAAAUUUGUUAAUUCCAUUUUUGGCAUAUUUAAUUGACAAAAAUAUUUUAUUAUUCAUUGUAUAUUUUCGGCUGGUAUACAUUAAUAUGGUUUCCUAUUUGGUGUAUUCAAACUUUCAAAGUUGUCUAGCUUUCCUAUUUUUGGAAAAAAGGUAAAAAUGGUAAGUUUGGUUACCCAUUUCGUUUUUAUCUAACCAGCUGUGUAAUCUGAUCUUGUGUUGAGUUUCCCAUUUUCUUAGAUCAGGUUUCUUGAAGAGAAAACCAGAGCUAAACUUUCCUUUUCUAUAAAAGGAAAGUUGUAGUUACUGCCCACGAUUACUCAAGUGUACGGAAACGGAAAUUCUGGGCGAUUGAAGAAUUAUUUUAGGGAAGUUUCUAGUGGGUUGAGGUCUUGUUCAGACCGAAUGUAAGCUGUCUAUGAGAUGUAUAUUCAUUAUAAAUACAUCUUAUAGCUGCUAGGUUUUGCAUCUCUUUCAUACACUUAGAAUUGCUUUCAUAUCUUAAGGAAAGAAUGUCUUUGUUUAGUACCUCUCUUGGUACCUCUCUUGUAUCUUUGAAUUCCAUUCAUAUCUUUAGAAAAGAGAGUCUUUGAUUUGUAGAGAAGAGUUGUUCUACUCUUACUCUGUUUAUUUGUUGUUUGUAUUGUCUUGAGUCUGUAUUCAAGUCUACAACGAAGAAGAACAUCAGUGCACCUUCGGGAGAAGGGUAUUUACAAGCUUUUGGGAGAUUGCUUUUGAAGUCUUGCAUCGGGAGGAUACAAGCACACAACCUUCGGGAGAUGGUUGUAUAGGCUUUCGGGAGAUAGCCUUUAAGCCUUGAAUCGGGAGGAUUCAAGCACUCUUCAAGGUGAUCGAAGGGAGUUCGAGCACUUAGAGUUUUAUCAAGAUUCGGUUAGUAGGUGGAAUACAUCAAGCUUGCGGCAUACAAUAAGAGGGAGUCUAUUUAUGCAUAAGUCAAUUACUUUGUAUUUUUGAUACCGAU
This is a long non-coding RNA of Cannabis sativa, 2390 nucleotides long. RefSeq lists it as uncharacterized. The transcript has 2 exons. The record is from RefSeq and is a predicted model, not a curated record. Lineage: Eukaryota; Viridiplantae; Streptophyta; Magnoliopsida; Rosales; Cannabaceae.